This 305-nucleotide unclassified non-coding RNA is filed under the name plant metagenome. Its description in RNAcentral is "partial contains 5.8S ribosomal RNA, internal transcribed spacer 2, and large subunit ribosomal RNA". The stretch from base 1 to 105 matches the Rfam family "5.8S ribosomal RNA", at positions 50 to 154 of the family's 154-position model. The record is from RNAcentral.
GAAAUGCGAUAAGUAGUGUGAAUUGCAGAAUUCAGUGAAUCAUCGAAUCUUUGAACGCACAUUGUGCCCUUUGGUAUUCCUUAGGGCAUGCCUGUUCGAGCGUCAUCUAAACCUUCAAGCCCUGCUUGGUGUUGGGUGUCUGUCCCGCCUCCGCGCGCGGACUCACCUCAAAUCCAUUGGCGGCCCCCGCGUCGGCCACGAGCGCAGCAGAAACGCGAACUCGUGAGCCCGUCCGGGCGGCUCCCAGAAGCUACACCCACCCAGUUUGACCUCGGAUCAGGUAGGGAUACCCGCUGAACUUAAGC